RNAcentral lists this small RNA (337 nucleotides) under Anaerobacillus arseniciselenatis. Its description in RNAcentral is "Bacillus arseniciselenatis cspA thermoregulator". It matches the Rfam family "cspA thermoregulator", at positions 78 to 428 of the family's 428-position model. Lineage: Bacteria; Bacillati; Bacillota; Bacilli; Caryophanales; Bacillaceae. The record is from Rfam by way of RNAcentral.
UUCGUUCUUUAAGGAAAGAAUUAGUAUUUAAACUUUUCCCCUUUGAUAAUUGAGCAAUAAUAGUAAUAAAUAGUGGAACACAUCCACACAGGAGGAAACAAACAUGGAACAAGGUACAGUAAAAUGGUUUAACGCAGAAAAAGGAUUCGGAUUCAUCGAGGUUGAAGGUGGAGACGAUGUAUUCGUACAUUUCUCAGCUAUCCAAGGCGAAGGGUUUAAAUCUUUAGAUGAAGGUCAAAAAGUUACUUUUGACGUUGAGCAAGGUCAACGUGGACCUCAAGCUACUAACGUAAACAAGGCAUAAUUAUUAAAGGACUCUUUUAUAGAGUCCUUUUUU